This 648-nucleotide ribosomal RNA is filed under the name uncultured bacterium. Its description in RNAcentral is "bacterial SSU rRNA". It matches the Rfam family "Bacterial small subunit ribosomal RNA", at positions 92 to 739 of the family's 1533-position model. The record is from RNAcentral.
CGACCGGCGCACGGGUGCGUAACGCGUAUAGAACUUACCUUUUACAGAGGGAUAGCCUUUAGAAAUGAAGAUUAAUACCUCAUAGUAUUGAGAUUUGGCAUCAAAUUUUAAUUAAAGAUUUAUCGGUAAAAGAUGGCUAUGCGUCCUAUUAGCUAGAUGGUGAGGUAACGGCUCACCAUGGCAACGAUAGGUAGGGGUCCUGAGAGGGAGAUCCCCCACACUGGUACUGAGACACGGACCAGACUCCUACGGGAGGCAGCAGUGAGGAAUAUUGGGCAAUGGAGGCAACUCUGACCCAGCCAUGCCGCGUGCAGGAAUAAGGUCCUAUGGAUUGUAAACUGCUUUUAUACAGGAAGAAACCUCUCUACGUGUAGAGACUUGACGGUACUGUAUGAAUAAGCACCGGCUAACUCCGUGCCAGCAGCCGCGGUAAUACGGAGGGUGCAAGCGUUAUCCGGAAUCAUUGGGUUUAAAGGGUCCGCAGGCGGUCAAUUAAGUCAGAGGUGAAAUACCGUCGCUUAACGACGGAACUGCCUUUGAUACUGGUUGACUUGAGUCAUAUGGAAGUAGAUAGAAUGUGUAGUGUAGCGGUGAAAUGCUUAGAUAUUACACAGAAUACCGAUUGCGAGGCAGUCUACUACGUAUGUA